Molecule: long non-coding RNA, 627 nt
Organism: Dromaius novaehollandiae (emu)
Lineage: Eukaryota; Metazoa; Chordata; Aves; Casuariiformes; Dromaiidae
Exons: 3
Source: RefSeq, a predicted model, not a curated record
GAUGGAACCAAGGACAGCAAAUGCUGACGAAGAGAAGAGACGGACAAGCGUUUUCUUGCGGUUAAUACCGAAGGGACGGGAUGAAACAAGGAAGCCAAAAUGCAGCGGCCCCUCGAUAUCACCAGGAACUGCUACAGGAGGAGGCGUUCUGGCACGGGUAACUAAGGGCGAUGGAUUUUACUCUGCCUCCAUCAACAGGCGCUGGCUGGCAAAGUCGUCGUGUCCCAACGGAGACUCUUAGGCAGGACGGGAGGAGUUCGGAUCCGCAGCCUGCCAGAAGAAAGUCGCCCGGGAGGGGUUGCUAGCCUUGAGCUACAGGCGCUGGUGCCGAAGCCCAGUCGGGCAGUCGAAGGAGCCUUGUCGCAGCUGGGAGCUCUGCGGAGAUGCGCGGCCGGCCGUGGAGGAUGAGCUCUGACUUGCAGCGUGGACACAGCUAAGUCCUGGGCCGCAUCGUAUGCGAGCGGGGCUGGGAGGUGCAAGGCGGUUGUCCCCUAGGUGUGGUCACUGGCGCCGCUGGCCGUGGCCGUUUGCCCACAGAGCUGAGAGGACCAAACAUACUAAUUGCCUGACCUGGAGAUGAAUUAGUGCUUGCAGGCUUUCAGGUAGGUCCAGUGCAAGUGCAGCUUA